ACUAAUGCGUGAGUAUUGCAUGGGUUAGCUCGGAAUCUUGAAGGAUGACUUUAGAUCCUAUUUUCGUUGGUUUAGGUACUUCAGUAAUGAUGAAUAGAAACGGUUAGGGGCAUUUGUAUUUGGUCGCUAGAGGUGAAAUUCUUGGAUUGA
This 150-nucleotide ribosomal RNA is filed under the name Rhizopus arrhizus. Its description in RNAcentral is "Rhizopus oryzae partial small subunit ribosomal RNA". It matches the Rfam family "Eukaryotic small subunit ribosomal RNA", at positions 795 to 928 of the family's 1831-position model. The record is from RNAcentral. Lineage: Eukaryota; Fungi; Mucoromycota; Mucoromycetes; Mucorales; Rhizopodaceae.